AGUCGAACGUGAAGCCACCUUCGGGUGGUGGAAAGUGGCAGACGGGUGAGUAACGCGUGGGAACGUGCCCUUCGGUUCGGGAUAACCCAGGGAAACUUGGGCUAACACCGGAUACGCCCUUCGGGGGAAAAAUUUAUUGCCGAAGGAUCGGCCCGCGUCGGAUUAGCUUGUUGGUGGGGUAAAAGCCUACCAAGGCGACGAUCCGUAGCUGGUCUGAGAGGAUGAUCAGCCACACUGGGACUGAGACACGGCCCAGACUCCUACGGGAGGCAGCAGUGGGGAAUAUUGGACAAUGGGCGCAAGCCUGAUCCAGCCAUGCCGCGUGGGUGAAGAAGGCCUUAGGGUUGUAAAUCCCUUUCAGCGGGGAAGAUAAUGACGGUACCCGCAGAAGAAGCCCCGGCUAACUCCGUGCCAGCAGCCGCGGUAAUACGGAGGGGGCUAGCGUUGUUCGGAAUUACUGGGCGUAAAGCGCGCGUAGGCGGACCUGCAAGUCGGGGGUGAAAGCCCGAGGCUCAACCUCGGAACUGCCUUCGAUACUGCGGGUCUUGAGUCCGGGAGAGGUGAGUGGAAUUCCUAGUGUAGAGGUGAAAUUCGUAGAUAUUAGGAAGAACACCAGUGGCGAAGGCGGCUCACUGGCCCGGUACU
RNAcentral lists this ribosomal RNA (645 nucleotides) under uncultured bacterium. RNAcentral describes it as "bacterial SSU rRNA". It matches the Rfam family "Bacterial small subunit ribosomal RNA", at positions 60 to 741 of the family's 1533-position model. The record is from RNAcentral.